This 379-nucleotide ribosomal RNA is filed under the name uncultured bacterium. RNAcentral's name for it is "bacterial SSU rRNA". It matches the Rfam family "Bacterial small subunit ribosomal RNA", at positions 28 to 408 of the family's 1533-position model. The record is from RNAcentral.
GACGAACGCUGGCGGCGUGCUUAACACAUGCAAGUCGAGCGGUAAGGCCCUUUCGGGGGUACACGAGCGGCGAACGGGUGAGUAACACGUGGGCGACCUACCCUCAGCUUCGGGAUAAGCCUGGGAAACUGGGUCUAAUACCGGAUAUGACCACAUGUCGCAUGGUGUGUGGUGGAAAGUUUUUUCGGCUGGGGAGUGGGCCCGCGGCCUAUCAGCUUGUUGGUGGGGUGAUGGCCUACCAAGGCGACGACGGGUAGCCGGCCUGAGAGGGCGACCGGCCACACUGGGACUGAGACACGGCCCAGACUCCUACGGGAGGCAGCAGUGGGGAAUAUUGCACAAUGGGCGAAAGCCUGAUGCAGCGACGCCGCGUGAGGAU